RNAcentral lists this transfer RNA (76 nucleotides) under bacterium NHP-B. RNAcentral's name for it is "tRNA-Trp". It matches the Rfam family "tRNA". Rfam says of the family: Transfer RNA (tRNA) molecules are approximately 80 nucleotides in length. Their secondary structure includes four short double-helical elements and three loops (D, anti-codon, and T loops). Further hydrogen bonds mediate the characteristic L-shaped molecular structure. tRNAs have two regions of fundamental functional importance: the anti-codon, which is responsible for specific mRNA codon recognition, and the 3' end, to which the tRNAs corresponding amino acid is attached (by aminoacyl-tRNA synthetases). tRNAs cope with the degeneracy of the genetic code in two manners: having more than one tRNA (with a specific anti-codon) for a particular amino acid; and 'wobble' base-pairing, i.e. permitting non-standard base-pairing at the 3rd anti-codon position. The record is from RNAcentral.
AGGAGCGUAGCUCAAUUGGUAGAGCACCGGUCUCCAAAACCGGUGGUUGUGGGUUCGAGUCCCUCCGCUCCUGCCA